Molecule: ribosomal RNA, 254 nt
Filed under: uncultured bacterium
Lineage: Bacteria
Description: partial 16S ribosomal RNA
Rfam family: Bacterial small subunit ribosomal RNA
Source: RNAcentral
UACAGAGGGGGCGAGCGUUGUUCGGAAUUACUGGGCGUAAAGGGCGCGUAGGCGGCCCGCUAAGUCGAACGUGAAAUCUCCAGGCUCAACCUGGAGGGGUCAUUCGAUACUGCCAUGACUAGAGGUCGGUAGGGGAGUGUGGAAUUCCUGGUGGAGCGGUGAAAUGCGCAGAUAUCAGGAGGAACACCCGUAGCGAAGGCGGCACUCUGGGCCGAUUCUGACACUGAGGAGCGAAAGCGUGGGGAGCGAACAGG